CGUUAGCACUCCGCCUGGGGACUACGGUCGCAAGACUAAAACUCAAAGGAAUUGACGGGGACCCGCACAAGCGGUGGAGCAUGUGGUUUAAUUCGAUGCAACGCGAAAAACCUUACCACUUCUUGACAUGGAGAUUAGAUCCUUCUUAACGGAAGGGCGCAGUUCGGCUGGAUCUCGCACAGGUGCUGCAUGGCUGUCGUCAGCUCGUGUCGUGAGAUGUUGGGUUAAGUCCCGCAACGAGCGUAACCCUCAUCCUUAGUUGCCAGCGGGUUAUGCCGGGCACUUUAAGGAAACUGCCAGUGGUAAACUGGAGGAAGGUGGGGAUGAUGUCAAGUCAGCACGGCCCUUAUGGGGUGGGCUACACACGUGCUACAAUGGUGACUACAAUAGGUUGCAAUGUCGCAAGGCUGAGCUAAUCCGUAAAAGUCAUCUCAGUUCGGAUUGUCCUCUGUAACUCGAGGGCAUGAAGUCGGAAUCGCUAGUAAUCGUGGAUCAGCAUGCCACGGUGAAUACGUUCUCGGGUCUUGUACACACUGCCCGUCACGCCAUGGGAAUUGGCUUAACUCGAAGCUGGUGCGCUAACCGAAAGAAACCCACCCAUA
This 602-nucleotide ribosomal RNA is filed under the name Anaplasma phagocytophilum. RNAcentral describes it as "bacterial SSU rRNA". It matches the Rfam family "Bacterial small subunit ribosomal RNA", at positions 859 to 1458 of the family's 1533-position model. The record is from RNAcentral. Lineage: Bacteria; Pseudomonadati; Pseudomonadota; Alphaproteobacteria; Rickettsiales; Anaplasmataceae.